ACUCCGUAGCGGCCAACUUGAAAGACAGUGGCAAGAAAGACGAGGGAUUAGAUGAAAAGGACGAAGGUUCAGCGUUAGAUACACGCACACGGAGAGUCUUCGAACGAAGAGGGAAGGCCGAUGCAAAGAGACUCAAAGUCUUCAGCCUAGACAGACGAGCACGAAGAAGGACAUGGGAAAGCCAGAUAGAUGUGUAACGCAAGGCCAAGCUCAAUGUACAACUUUGAAGUCGAAUGCCAAAGAGUCACAUUGUACAAAAAAAAGCUUCUGGGACAUAGAAGAGUCGUUGUUCUCUGUUCACAAUUCUGAUCCAAAAUUAUUACCACGCACCUUCUUCAUUUCUCCGCAGAGGGGGUGAGACAUGUAAUAAUCAAAGUGCCAGUGGAAAAGAUAAUCUCAGCAGAUGUUCAUCCAACCUAAAAGUUGAUGAGGGUAAAGAUGUGGCAACUCAAAGAUAUGUCUGCGCCUUCCUGGCUCCCCAACCUCUUCACACACAUUCUGACCACCCUAAUACUAUUUUCAUGGUAUUGUCAUCUCGGGGCCAGAGCCACGUCCAGUGUGGCAGCCUCGAUUACGUCCUCGGCAACCUCUUCCAGUCGUCAGUACGACCAAAGCAAGAACAAUCGAGUCCUCGCCGACGAAUAUAUGACUACGGAUCACAGCUCGGAGGACGACGACGAUCAAGGCAGCGCCUCGAAUUUCCUUUUCCCCAAUGCUAAUGAUGAGAGCUAUUGGAGGGAGAUCAAGGCCAUCAUUGGCGGUGUCCUAGGCUUUUGGGGUGGUGUGGGUGGUCUGGGGACCUUGUUUCUCGUUGUCGUCCUCAGCCAGCGUUAUUGUUGCCGAAAGUCCGACGAAGAAAAAGAUGGCGACGGAUGAUGUUAUUGGGUGUAACUGGGAAGACAAUUCAUAUUUUCAGUGUGACCAUCGGCUCAACUCUAGAAUGGGUCUUCGGAUGAUCGUGCUGCCCGUGGGCAUUUGGAACCAUUUUUGCAAACACGUGUGAUGAAGGAAUGGUUUUGAACCUCACCCAGGCAGACUUGCCAUCCUCAAUCCAGUGGGCAAUAAUUAAUAAACUUGCCUGAAUGUCCACCUGAAGACGUCAAUAAGAUACUCCACAUGAAAAACAGAAAACAUGAGCUCAUUGUCGUUGCUAACAUACACAAGUAACAAUUGCCCAGUUGCACCCCACCUCGUUGAAGUUUGACGAGAACAAGUACUAAUGAUCCUAGUAUCCGUUACUAACUUCGAUUCAAUUUCAACCCUCCCAAGAAUUCAUUCAGAUUUUUGAUCAUCCAAGUCUACCACGUUUAUAAAGCCCGACUUUGAUAGAAAAAGAGUGUUUCCUAUGCUUCAUUUUUUUUCCUUUUCCGUUUCCGUGUUGAGUCAAGGUGACUUUCCUUGACACGCAAUAUAUAUAUAUAUAUAUAUAUAUAUCAUGAUUUGUAUCCAAGGAACACCUUGAAUCUGUGAUGUGUUUGUAGGAACUUCCAAUCUUCUUGUCUUGUUUGGCACGCCCCUUCACAGCUCCAACCAAAAACCUUGUUAUGUGAUUCAACGUUCAAUUUGGCAACCCAACCCCCAAGAAAUGGGCCCCUUUUCAUGUGUAACCGAUGGAAAAUGAUUGUCUUGUCAAUGCUCACCAUACUUUAUCCAACAGAAAUAAAUCACGUUUGUUAAAGAGA
Molecule: long non-coding RNA, 1682 nt
Organism: Tigriopus californicus
Lineage: Eukaryota; Metazoa; Arthropoda; Copepoda; Harpacticoida; Harpacticidae
Exons: 2
Source: RefSeq, a predicted model, not a curated record